CACGUAGGCACCAAGCGUUGUCCGGAUUUAUUGGGCGUAAAGAGCUCGUAGGCGGUUCGGUAAGUCGGGUGUGAAAACUUUGGGCUCAACCCAAAGCCUGCACUCGAUACUGCUGUGACUUGAGUCCGGUAGGGGAGUGGGGAACUCCUGGUGUAGCGGUGGAAUGCGCAGAUAUCAGGAGGAACACCGGUGGCGAAGGCGCCACUCUGGGCCGGUACUGACGCUGAGGAGCGAAAGCGUGGGGAGCGAACAGG
This 254-nucleotide ribosomal RNA is filed under the name uncultured bacterium. RNAcentral describes it as "partial 16S ribosomal RNA". It matches the Rfam family "Bacterial small subunit ribosomal RNA", at positions 524 to 776 of the family's 1533-position model. The record is from RNAcentral.